GACGAACGCUGGCGGCGUGCUUAACACAUGCAAGUCGAACGGAAAGACCCUGCUUUUGUGGUGUGCUCGAGUGGCGAACGGGUGAGUAACACGUGAGUAACCUGCCCUUGACUUUGGGAUAACUUCAGGAAACUGGGGCUAAUACCGGAUAGGAGCUCCUGCUGCAUGGUGGGGGUUGGAAAGUUUCGGAGGUUGUGGAUGGACUCGCGGCUUAUCAGCUUGUUGGUGGGGUAGUGGCUUACCAAGGCUUUGACGGGUAGCCGGCCUGAGAGGGUGACCGGCCACAGUGGGACUGAGAUACGGCCCAGACUCCUACAGGAGGCAGCAGUGGGGAAUAUUGCACAAUGGGCGGAAGCCUGAUGCAGCAACGCCGCGUGCGGGAUGACGGCCUUCUGGUUGUAAACCGCUUUCGCCUGUGACGAAGCGUGAGUGACGGUAAUGGGUAAAGAAGCACCGGCUAACUACGUG
RNAcentral lists this ribosomal RNA (468 nucleotides) under uncultured bacterium. RNAcentral describes it as "partial 16S ribosomal RNA". It matches the Rfam family "Bacterial small subunit ribosomal RNA", at positions 28 to 507 of the family's 1533-position model. The record is from RNAcentral.